This 475-nucleotide small RNA is filed under the name Histoplasma ohiense. RNAcentral's name for it is "hypothetical lncRNA". The record is from RNAcentral. Lineage: Eukaryota; Fungi; Ascomycota; Eurotiomycetes; Onygenales; Ajellomycetaceae.
CUGGCUGGUGGGACCAUGAAUUACAUGUUUGGUUUGGUUUGAUUUGAUUCCAGUCAAUUUCUUGGUGUGAUUUCCAGUGGGACCAGGAUCAGAAUGGUAGACUGGCUGUGUGACUAUACAUAGAACCAGAAUCAAAUUUUUUAUCAGUUCCAUUCUCAAAUAUCUUAAUUCUGGUCCCAUAAGUAUUUAUGAAAUCAGUCACUUUACAUGAUUUAUAUUAUAAUUCUAAUCUCAGAUCAUGUUUUAGUUAUAAAUUAUCAGUUCUGAUUCUAUUUGAUCCCAUUUUACAAAAUGGGACCAAAUGGGACCAUGAUUUACUCUAUAUAGAUUGGCAGCGAUAGAUAGAUUAGCAGUGAUAGAUAGCUUAGCAGUGAUAGAUAGAUUGACAGCGAUAGAUAGAUUGACAGUGGUUGAUAAAUUGACAGCAAGAGAUAGCUGAGCAGUGAGGGAUAGCUUAGCAGUGAGAGAUAGCUUA